This 253-nucleotide ribosomal RNA is filed under the name uncultured prokaryote. RNAcentral describes it as "partial 16S ribosomal RNA". It matches the Rfam family "Bacterial small subunit ribosomal RNA", at positions 525 to 777 of the family's 1533-position model. The record is from RNAcentral.
ACGUAGGAGACAAGCGUUGUCCGGAAUUAUUGGGCGUAAAGGGCGCGCAGGCGGCCUGCCGCGUGUCUGGUGAAAGCGCCCGGCUUAACCGGGCGAGGUCCAGGCAAACGGGCAGGCUUGAGCGUCGGAGAGGGGCAUGGAACUCCGGGUGGAGCGGUGAAAUGCGUAGAGAUCCGGAAGAACACCAAUGGCGAAGGCAGUGCCCUGGCCGACGGCUGACGCUCAGGCGCGACAGCGUGGGGAGCAAACAGGA